Molecule: long non-coding RNA, 1857 nt
Organism: Brassica rapa (field mustard)
Lineage: Eukaryota; Viridiplantae; Streptophyta; Magnoliopsida; Brassicales; Brassicaceae
Source: RefSeq, a predicted model, not a curated record
GAAUCAAAUACAACAAUCAAACAACAUAAUGAUUUCCACAAAGAAAAUUUAAAAAAUAUAUUGAUGUUAUGUAGUCUUAUUUUAUAUUCUUUAAAUAAUAUAAUACAAUAUUAUACUUUAUUUUUUUAGAAUUUAGAAAUACAUAUAAUAUAUUUUCCGCGCGUAGCGUGGUUAAAAAAUCUAAUUUAUUUAUAAGUUUGCCAUUAUGGCUAAGGUGUAGUCAUUCUCAAGUUCUAUUCUUAAUAAUCCUUUAUUUACUAGAUAGAUUACACAAUAUAUGUCAUUGGUACGUACUCGUCACGUAACAUAAUUAGCUUGAAAAAAAGAUUAUACAUAUAUUUUUUUUUUCUUUAAUCGAUCAUACCAAUUUAAUAAGAUGAAUUUUUUUCAUUUGUGAGAUUAGGUCGCCGAUGUCGGAUGUCGGAUUUAGAGCAAGGUUAAUGAGAAGGGGAGGUCAUUGAGGUUAAAGAGACGAGCGAGGUAGAGUCCUGACAUGCCGUUGUGGUGGCGGAGGAAUGAAGAGACGACGGAGAAGAAGUGGAACAAGUCAGGGAGGCGAGGUCAUGCGGAAGAUGACCUGCGAGGAGUGGGAGCUUCGAAGAUUACUAUGGCGGAUUCGUUCGGUGCUGUCGUUUUGGGUGGUAUCUUUGAUUUAUUGCACGCUGGGCAUCAGACUUCAAGAAAUCAGGUGGUGGAGCUAACCAUGGAUCGAAUAGUAGUGGGAGUAUGUGAUGGCCCGAUGCUGAUGAACAAAGAAGUAAGCCAUCUAUCACUCUCGAAUCUAUUAUCAUCUUUCCCUUUUCGCCUAGAUUAGUUUAGCAUCCUACACCGUUUGAUAUAAGCAAGACAUUUGAGAACGAGGAAUCUAGAAAAUUAUAUGAGAUUGAAGUCUCUCUUAUGGCCAAAAAUGGAUUGUAUUUCGAGUUUUUAUCUUUGUACUAAAUGUUUCUGUGGUUUAAAGCUGAAACUGUUACGCUUUGUUGAUGAGCUCAAAAAUUUCAAGGUCUCAAAGGAAUUAAAGAGUUCAAUUCCACUGGACCAAAGGACUUCCACAAUUACUUAUUAGUUAGGAUACACAAUUAUAUAAUAUACUAGGGGUUGGCCGGCGCUACGCGCCGAAUUUUCUAUUAUUGUUAUUAUUUUAAAUUAUUUAAUAGAAUAAUUUGUGUUAAUAAUUAUAUUUGUUUUUUAUUCUUUUGUUAUUUUUUUGAUAUUGUUUUAUUAUAUUGAUAGCAUAUAUGAUGUUUUUAACUUUUAUAUUUUGGAAAUUGUUCAAUAAUUAAAUAAUUUAGUUUAGAAAGUAUAGUAGCCAAAUUGGUCAGUUAUUAUAUAAGAUCAUUUGAUAAAUUCACACAGUUACUUCGCAUAUAUCCAGCCAUGUUCCUUGUCUAAAGACCGAUAAAAUCUAAGCUGCAAUCUAACUUGGAGUAAAAUAAACAUAAUAAAAAUAAAAAGAGAUGAAUGGUAUUUAUUUUUUGGUUUUCAAAAUUUGUGGUCACCUGGACUUGUUUUGGUGCAACCUUGAUUGUUGGAAAAUUUGUAACAAAUAUUACAUGCCCGACAGUGGUCAUUGUCUUAAAGAUUGAGGUUUUGAAUUUUCCUAUUGGCUACCUUACAGAAAAGAAAAGAAAAGGAAUCACGACAAAUCAAGCAUCAUAUUACAAUUAUGCAAGUAAAUUUCAUGCUCAACAAAAUCAGGUAAUCAACACAAUCAAAUAAUUUAAUCACAGCAUACUCGUCGCACCAAAAAAAGUGAAAGAGAAGCUAGUAUUUCACAUGAAUAUCUCGCAUGAAGACUAAACAACCAACACACGUUUUGUGUUAAUUGUUUCUCCUCUAUUGGAAUAAUCAUUAAUU